Molecule: RNA transcript, 1455 nt
Organism: Spinacia oleracea (spinach)
Lineage: Eukaryota; Viridiplantae; Streptophyta; Magnoliopsida; Caryophyllales; Amaranthaceae
Exons: 6
Source: RefSeq, a predicted model, not a curated record
CACAUCCUGUUUACCUGUUAUAGUGGUUUCAAUUGAAACACUAUUAAAAUAUUUAGAAAAUAAAUGAAAAAAACCGCCUAAGAGAAAUAUCAAUCACGGAGAUCGAUUGCUCUCCGCCUCCAUCCUCACCUCCUCACCUCCUCGCAUCUCUAUCUCUUUCUUCCUUACCUCACGGAGAUUUCUCUAUGCCUCCAUCCUCACCUCUUUACAUCUCCAUCUCUCUCCUCCUUAUAUCAUCCCCUAUCUCCUCUCGUAUCUCCUCCUCUACUGUCCUUGAUAUUUUAGCGCCUAUGGCAACGGUGUGGCGACGGCGGUGUUGUGGGCGGUGAUGUCGGUGCUUGUGGCACUGUAAUUCCUAGAUUGUGGUUUCGAUUGGGUUUAUUUGGGCUAAGGAUAUGCUUACAUUUUUUGUGAAUGGUUGCUGAAGUUUCCUGAAUACAAAUCUACGGAAUUUUUUCUUACCGGGGAGAGCUACGCAGGUUAUCUUGUAGCUAGCUUGCAUCUAUUUUCAUUUUUAAAGGGUGAAUUGGAUUAUGAUAUAUGUUGUCCAAGUUAACUGGUAUUACUUUUCACUUGAUUUUAUUUAUGAGAGUUAAGACUAUAUAAGGUUGUUGAACCUUGAAGAACUCCGUAGUACGAUGGGGUGAUAUUGUACCAGCAGGAUCCUGCUAAGAAAGAAUCUACAGUGACAAGUGAAACCCUACUCUUUUCUUUUACUCUAGAGGAACUCGUUCAGAGGAUGAAAUGAGUAAGAAUAAGAAGCGUGCCUUCAUUAAUAUAGACUUAGCUUAGUCAUUGGUUUAUUGCUUUUCAUCUGUGAGUAAUAUUUUACAUUUCUCUUCUUGUUCAAUUCUAGCUAAUGCUUUCGACAAUUUGGAAGAGUGUUUUUUGAAAUACAAUCACGAAUGGCCUUUCCUGCUCGGUGCCCAGUUUAGUGCGGCACUGGAUACAAUUGAGGCCUUCCGGCAAAUCAAAUGGGAUGACGAGCUGAGCAUAAAGAUCUUUAAUAGGCGCAACCUGAAUUUGGAACUACAGUCUGCCAGAAUACUCGGUAGCCAUCAAUACCUACAAUGAAAUGCAACUACAUUGUGUUCUCUCUUCUUGCUUCUCCUGUCCUUGUUCAACUGUCCUGCCGAUGUUGUACUUGUCUGCUGCUGUGUUGCUAUGUCAAAGGGGAUGGCUGCUCUUGUUGUUGGUUUCACUACUUUUCAGAUUGUCAGUUUCCAAGUUAUGAAGAGCAGAUUGACGAAGUAAGAAUCGAAUGGGUGCGCCAUGUUGUUCAACAAUUGUAUAAUCACUUGGUUAUGUUGAAGGAACCAACAUACAUAAGACUAUUGAUUAAUGUAUUUUAUGUAGUUUAGUGUUUAGAAUUUUAAUUUGGAUUUAUGUAAUCGGUUUUAUUAUUGUGACAAUGGCAAAAAUGCUUUUAAUUGAGGUUUGAAAAUUAAUUUUGAA